GACGGAAGGUGCAAGCGUUGCUCGGAAUCACUGGGCGUAAAGGGUGCGUAGGCGGCCGUGCAAGUCUGGCGUGAAAGCCCCGGGCUCAGCCCGGGAAGUGCGCUCGAAACUGCGCGGCUCGAGUGCCGGAGGGGAGAGUGGAAUUCCUGGUGUAGCGGUGAAAUGCGUAGAUAUCAGGAGGAACACCGAUGGCGAAGGCAGGUCUCUGGGCAUUAACUGACGCUGAGGAGCGAAAGCAUGGGGAGCGAACAGG
Molecule: ribosomal RNA, 253 nt
Filed under: uncultured bacterium
Lineage: Bacteria
Description: partial 16S ribosomal RNA
Rfam family: Bacterial small subunit ribosomal RNA
Source: RNAcentral